This is a long non-coding RNA of Prinia subflava (tawny-flanked prinia), 897 nucleotides long. RefSeq lists it as uncharacterized. Lineage: Eukaryota; Metazoa; Chordata; Aves; Passeriformes; Cisticolidae. The transcript has 3 exons. The record is from RefSeq and is a predicted model, not a curated record.
AUGGGAUAGAUGGGACAUGGGACAGCUGCAACACAGGACAGUGGGACAUGGGAUAGCUGGGACAUGGUAGAGCUGGGACAUUGGACAGCCUGGGACAAGGGGCUGCUUCAAGGGCAUCCUCAGUCUACAGGGAUAAAUGAAGGGUGGCGAUAGGAGCUGAUCACUUAAAGCAAGGGUUUGUAUUUUUAGUGUUUGCCUGAAAAGAGAAAUGCUCAGUCACAGAGUUUACAGCUGCUUUUGGGAUUUCCUCAGCACACGAGCAGCGUGCACACCUGCACCACCCCUGCACCAUCCCUACAUCCCCACGCAGCAGUGCCUGAGCACCAGGAGCAUCCUCCCCUUCUAGAGCCAGCCUGGCAGAGCAAGAUGGCAGUGCCAGCUGGAUACCACAGGGAACAGGGCAAUACACGAUUCCACAUGGGCAAGACACUUCAGUCACACAGCUAAAUCCUGCUCUGACCUGCAGCCACCAACCACAGGAGGGAUGGAGCAGUUGCAAUUCUCUAGCUUGAAGCUGAUCACUGAAACACAGAUUCCUGAACACUGAAGGACAAAUUGAAAGAAACAAGCAGAGCACAACGCCGGAAAGUGGAUGAAGAAACAAAGCCCUGCCUUUGAAAGAGACCUCUGUGAAUCCCUGGCACGUAGCAGCAAAAGGGAGGAAAUGGGAGGCUAAGAAGGACAGAGCAUCUGCUCACAUUGUGACUGUGCUCUCCUCCCAAACACCAGGCUCUGCAAGGCCAGAGCUCAAGUUCUGACUGUGAAUAUCUUGGCUCACAUCGAUGCUCUUCCUGCACCCACCUGACUUCAGCUGGAUUUUUGCCACUGACUUUUUGGGGGGUAACACCACCAAAUUCUAUACUGGUUUAGUCUUAAUACUUAAGGAUUAAUAAAAAU